UAUGUAAUACUGCAACAUGAAAGACUUUCUUCUUGCUUUAGUUUCGGUUGUGGCUGCCUUAGCCGUCGUGAUACUUUUUAUAAUGUUUGGAUGGUACAUCGUGUGGGUGGCCUUCCUGUCUCGGUUCAAACUUAUGCGAGAACUUCUCGGAAAAAAUGACGAUAUGGACGUUAAGUCGGAAAAGGAUACAAAGAAUAGGCCAGCAGGCUAUGGGAAGUAUCAACAGAAAGACAAGAGCAGAUAGCGUAACCUGAUGUGGACAUGAAAACAUUGAUGUUCACUUCUUAUCCUGUCUCCUGUUACGACUGAUUUGCUUGGGAAGUG
Long non-coding RNA from Lytechinus variegatus (green sea urchin), 324 nucleotides. RefSeq lists it as uncharacterized. The transcript is spliced from 2 exons. NCBI's taxonomy places the organism in Eukaryota, Metazoa, Echinodermata, Echinoidea, Temnopleuroida, Toxopneustidae. The record is from RefSeq and is a predicted model, not a curated record.